UACGUAGGUGGCAAGCGUUGUCCGGAUUCAUUGGGUUUAAAGGGUGCGUAGGCGGCCCUGUAAGUCAGUAGUGAAAUAUCACAGCUUAACUGUGAGGGUGCUAUUGAUACUGCAGGGCUUGAGUACAGACGAGGUAGGCGGAAUUGACGGUGUAGCGGUGAAAUGCUUAGAUAUCGUCAAGAACACCGAUAGUGUAGACAGCUUACUAGGCUGUAACUGACGCUGAGGCACGAAAGUGUGGGGAUCAAACAGG
Molecule: ribosomal RNA, 253 nt
Filed under: uncultured bacterium
Lineage: Bacteria
Description: partial 16S ribosomal RNA
Rfam family: Bacterial small subunit ribosomal RNA
Source: RNAcentral